GUACCCACGAAUUGUCCUUUCAAUCAUAUGCAUAUACUACUGUUUCCUUUUUUAUGCCAAUAUUUUCAUGGGCAAAUUAAUUCAACAUCUCUAUCCGAACCUCUGUUUUGAUUCCAUUUCAUCGAUGAUAUUGACAUGAAACGGAUUGAAUCCAAAUAAAAAAUGGAUGAUUUUUUUCAGACAUGCAAACAACGCCCACCAGUUAAUUAAACUUACAAAUUAAAUGUCCGACUCUUAUAUAUCUGUCUUAGACACAACUAUAUCUAUAAAGAACGGUGCCACAACAACAGACCUCUACUGUAAAUAUACAUAUAAUCAUAAGUACCUUUCUCCCCAAAGCUUUCCCCUAAACACUGUACAAAAAGUAUCCCGUACAGUCAAACUCUCAGCUCUCAGGCCGACUUCACGUGAAACUCUAGACUUACCAGACCUACUCUUUUACAGAAAAACAAAAACCUUUUCAUUAACGCCAAUAUCGAAACUAGUUCAACUAAAGGUGAUUGUUAUCCUGGACGGCUUAACAGUUCAGAGGCAUUCAGUGGUAAAAAUGUAUGAUAUACUUUCAGAAUGCACAUCAUCUGUUACUGCAAUAACCAUGAUCUUGUAAGCUCAAGGCCAAACGUAUAGAAAACUAAUAUAAUUAUGACUAAAACAAAACAAAC
RNAcentral lists this long non-coding RNA (662 nucleotides) under Mytilus galloprovincialis (Mediterranean mussel). Lineage: Eukaryota; Metazoa; Mollusca; Bivalvia; Mytilida; Mytilidae. The record is from RNAcentral.